CCAGUCGCAGCCGAUGCUCCACAGGAGAGGACCAAGGACUGAUCCUAGCGGAACACCGCGCUCGACGAG
This 69-nucleotide microRNA precursor is filed under the name Bombyx mori (domestic silkworm). RNAcentral's name for it is "mir-3389 microRNA precursor family". It matches the Rfam family "mir-3389 microRNA precursor family". Lineage: Eukaryota; Metazoa; Arthropoda; Insecta; Lepidoptera; Bombycidae. The record is from Rfam by way of RNAcentral.